GCAGGGCUGAAUACUGUGUUUUUUUUUAUCAGUGGUUUACAUAGCCAGACACCAUUCAAAAAAAAAAAAAAAGAAAGAAAAAAAGCAGUCUUCCCUUUAAAGUGGUUAUAAUCAUAUGCUAAGUUUUUUUCAUAGCAUAUCAUUAUUAAAGGGAAAUACAAAG
Eubalaena glacialis (North Atlantic right whale) is the source of this 163-nucleotide small nucleolar RNA. RefSeq annotates it as small nucleolar RNA SNORA15. The record is from RefSeq and is a predicted model, not a curated record. Lineage: Eukaryota; Metazoa; Chordata; Mammalia; Artiodactyla; Balaenidae. The transcript has a single exon.